GACGAACGCUGGCGGCGUGCUUAACACAUGCAAGUCGAACGGAAAGGCCCUGCUUUUGUGGGGUGCUCGAGUGGCGAACGGGUGAGUAACACGUGAGUAACCUGCCCUUGACUUUGGGAUAACUUCAGGAAACUGGGGCUAAUACCGGAUAGGAGCUCCUGCUGCAUGGUGGGGGUUGGAAAGUUUCGGCGGUUGGGGAUGGACUCGCGGCUUAUCAGCUUGUUGGUGGGGUAGUGGCUUACCAAGGCUUUGACGGGUAGCCGGCCUGAGAGGGUGAUCGGCCACAUUGGGACUGAGAUACGGCCCAGACUCCUACGGGAGGCAGCAGUGGGGAAUAUUGCACAAUGGGCGGAAGCCUGAUGCUGCAACGCCGCGUGCGGGAUGACGGCCUUCGGGUUGUAAACCGCUUUCGCCUGUGACGAAGCGUGAGUGACGGUAAUGGGUAAAGAAGCACCGGCUAACUACGUG
Molecule: ribosomal RNA, 468 nt
Filed under: uncultured bacterium
Lineage: Bacteria
Description: partial 16S ribosomal RNA
Rfam family: Bacterial small subunit ribosomal RNA
Source: RNAcentral